CUACUUAAGGAAUAAUUAACAUUACUUCAUUUGUACACACUAAUAGGGUAUUUAAACUAAUAACAGGUUAAGAAAAUAUCAAAUGGUGCUAUGAUCUGUGCGUCUCUUUAAAAUAUACUGAUCUAGUCCUGAUUCCAGAUCAUUUUUUAGUUUCAUUUGAUUGCUUUAGUAAUUGUUAGUGAAUUUAAUAAUGUGAUAAUUUAAAUUGUUUAUUUUUAUAUGUUAAAUAGAUAGUAUUAUUGUUAAAAUUUUGUAAAAGCAUUUCAUUUACCG
This 273-nucleotide long non-coding RNA is filed under the name Mytilus galloprovincialis (Mediterranean mussel). The record is from RNAcentral. Lineage: Eukaryota; Metazoa; Mollusca; Bivalvia; Mytilida; Mytilidae.